UUUGUGUGUGGUUUCAUAUUGAGAUUAUUCGCAGAUAAUAAGUGGUCGGCAAAUGCUGUAAAUUGUAAAAAAAAAAUCGCGAUUAAUCGUGAUUAAUUCUUCAAAGUUUGCGAUUAAUUUGUUAAUUUUUUUAAUCGAUUCCCGGCCCUAAUUAGAAGUCAUUCUAGCUGAUCUGUCAGCCUCCAUAAUCGUAGUGUUGCUUCAGUAUGUUAGCAAGGUAACAUCACCCCAUUACUAAUAAUACAAAAUGAUUUAGAGGGUCGGAUAUAAUUAACUUCCGGGCCAGAUCCGGCCCCCGGACCUUGAACCAUCUGGAACAUGUGUUCUAGAUGAAACAAACGGGCAUGUUAUACGAGACCUCUCCUCUUUGUGUUGCAGUUUUCACACUUCAACCAGCUUUUCGAAGGGUCAAGGCUCCUGUGUUCUUAGGUAGGACUUCCGUCACCAAACUCUCCAGCAACUUUGAAAAGAGAUUUAAAAGGAGAAGAAGCUGAGGCGACGUCUGCUGCGGGGGACAAAGAUUAGCUUCAAAGAUGACGUGAUUUAUGUUAUGAUAAAGUCAUCUGACAUGUUUUCUUCA
Long non-coding RNA from Oryzias melastigma (Indian medaka), 580 nucleotides. RefSeq lists it as uncharacterized. The transcript is spliced from 2 exons. The record is from RefSeq and is a predicted model, not a curated record. Lineage: Eukaryota; Metazoa; Chordata; Actinopteri; Beloniformes; Adrianichthyidae.